CGCCCCCUAAUUCAUUCGUUUAAUAAAUUAGCUGUGGAUGUGUCACAAUUUGUCUAAUCUUCUCAAAUUUUGGUAGGAGCGUAGAUACUAUGACUCUGCACAUAUUUGCAAUUGGUUUGUAUUAGCUCCGCCCAACAGGAAGUCGGCCAUAUUGGAUUUUGUAAUUUUUUUUACACUUUUUUUCACAAACUCAUUUAAACUGCUCCUAAAGUCUUUGUCAGAUUACCUCUAAAUUAGCUGAGAAUGAACAUCAGACACAGUUGAUGAAAAUUGCCAAAGGAAUAGUUGAUCGCUAAAACGGUGACGUAAUGGCGAGCAAUUGAUUGACUAGAGACGCAACACUAAACCAAAGUGAAACCAUGACACAGUCAGAACACAGAUGAUUAAAAAUUCAUGAAACUUGGCAAAAACACAAGAGACAUCAUAAGACACGUUUUUAGUAUUGGAAUGAUUGACUCCGCCCAACAGGAAGUCGGCCAUUUUGAAAUAAGUGCAUUUUACACACAUUUUUUGCAUACUUUGUCGAACUCCUCCUAGGGAAUUUGUUGAAUACUCUUGAUAUUUGUCAGCAAAAAACUACUUCAAUCCGUGAUGAUAAAUUGCGAAGGAAUAGUCGAUAUCUUAAACGAGGACGAAAUGGCGGACAGUUGAACUGCUUGAGAUGCCCCAUUAAAAUAGGAAGUGAAUACAUUCUGGUGCUGGUAGGUGUUUGAGGAGGUUAAAAAGGUUGAAAACUCGAAAAUUUACAGGCCUGCUUGAAUUAAGCAGUACUUUCAUCUGAAAUUAAAAUUUCUUGUAUACGCAUUUCAUUGGCUCUAUAGCGCCACCUAGGUUUCAAUGCAUAUUUGACAUUACGGGAAUGCUCAAAACCUCUUGAAAAUUGACAGAUUGCAUAAGACCUAAAAACACUUUACAAAUAUUUUGACAAAUUUUUCAUGUAUAGCUAGCAGACUCUACAGCGCCCCCUAAUUCGUUUGUUUAAUAAAUUAGCUGUGGAUGUGUCAAAAUUUGUCUAAUCUUCUCAAAUUUUGGUAGGAUCGUAGAUAGUAUGACCCUGCACAUAUUUGCAAUUGGCUUGUAUUAGCUCCGCCCAACAGGAAGUCGGCCAUAUUGGAAUUUGUAAUAUUUUUACAAAUUUUUCACAAACUAAUUUAAACUGCUCCUAAAGUCUUUGUCAGAUUACCUCUAAAUUAUCUGAGAAUGAACAUCAGACACAGUUGAUGAAAAUUGCCAAAGGAAAAGUUGAUCGCUAAAACGGUGACGUAAUAGCGAGCAAUUGAUUGACUAGAGACGCAACACUAAACCAAAGUGAAACCAUGACACGGUCAGAACACAGAUGAUUAAAAAUUCAUGAAACUUGGCAAAAACACAAGAGACAUCAUUAGACACGUUUUCAGUAUUGGUAGGACUGACUCCGCCCAACAGGAAGUCGGCCAUUUUGAAAUAUCUGAAUUUUACAUACAUUUUUUGCGUAUGUUGUCAAACUACUCCAAGAAAUUUUGUUGAAUUCUCUUGGUAUUUUGUAAAAAUAAACAUUGAACAUAUCUGAUGAUAAA
Molecule: long non-coding RNA, 1556 nt
Organism: Astyanax mexicanus (Mexican tetra)
Lineage: Eukaryota; Metazoa; Chordata; Actinopteri; Characiformes; Acestrorhamphidae
Exons: 2
Source: RefSeq, a predicted model, not a curated record